UGGGGAAUAUUGCACAAUGGGGGAAACCCUGAUGCAGCGACGCAGCGUGCGGGAUGACGGCCUUCGGGUUGUAAACCGCUUUCAGCAGGGAAGAAGCCUCACGGUGACGGUACCUGCAGAAGAAGUACCGGCUAACUACGUGCCAGCAGCCGCGGUAAUACGUAGGGUACGAGCGUUGUCCGGAAUUAUUGGGCGUAAAGAGCUCGUAGGUGGUUGGUCACGUAGGCUGGGGAAACGCAACGCUUAACGUUGCGCUUGCAGUGGGUACGGGCUGACUAGAGUGCAGUAGGGGAGUCUGGAAUUCCUGGUGUAGCGGUGAAAUGCGCAGAGAUCAGGAGGAACACCGGUGGCGAAGGCGGGACUCUGGGCUGUAACUGACACUGAGGAGCGAAAGCAUGGGGAGCGAACA
RNAcentral lists this ribosomal RNA (409 nucleotides) under uncultured bacterium. RNAcentral's name for it is "partial 16S ribosomal RNA". It matches the Rfam family "Bacterial small subunit ribosomal RNA", at positions 355 to 774 of the family's 1533-position model. The record is from RNAcentral.